UUGGUUUCUUAGAAACCCAAUGUUAAUUCGGGUGAGCUUCAAACACUAUCCAUUAGUUCUACUACAAUUUGAUCUUCACAUGGAAAUGGCUCUAUCCACUUCUUCAGUUACUGGUAAGUUGAAUUAGGGAAUGUUUGUAAUCUUUUGUGCAUAGUAGUGGAAGAAGAAUGGGUUGGACCUAUUGGAUGGUCCAAGUAAGUGACAUGCUCAUGAGGCCAAAUGUUACCGUGUAUGGGAAGGUUUCUAUACACUUCGCCCACUAAAUCAUUUCUCUUUAGGAAAUUAUGAAAGAGGAAUAUGGCAUGUAAAGACCAAGGUAUUAAAAAGUAGUUAUGUAAUGGCCGCUACAUUGUUACAUAAAAACCUUUCUUUUAGAUGGUUGCACUGCUCUCUUUAUUAAACUAUUUUGGUUUGUACUUGAAAAGCAAGCUUCUUUUAUUCUUGUCAGGAAUGAUUUGUUUGGAUGCACACAGUUGUACUAUCUUGUUGUACGUUGUUAAUCCAAAAUCUUAAAUCUUUCUAUUUGUAGUACAUUGUAGAUAACAAUCUUGAGAACAACCCAUGGCAUGGAUUUGAUGAGUGGUCACUCAAGAUUAAAACCAAUGCGGCUGAAUGAAGUUCUAAAAAUGUUGUUGGUUUUUCUUCUUCAGUUAUUCUUGAAAGUUAUUUUGGUUGCUUUCAAAAGAUAAGCAACAAGACCCUUAGUAUUCAAAUAAAAUCUUAUUAGUUGUUGCAUGGUUUCUUUCACAAGUUCUAGUAUAUUGCCUCAAGAAGUUGCUACUCCCACACUUGCGUGAAGCCUUUCCCAUCCACAUGCAGGCGCACAUGCCAAUGUGGCACACAUGUAUAGGAUAUGAGAUUUCCAUUAGGUAUGCGACACAGUUUAGAUAUUCUGGCCAAAAUAAGGCCAUUUCACUCAGAUGAGCAAUAGUUAACAAAAGAAAUGCUUGGCUAAAACAAUUUUUUUUCUAGCCAUCCAUUUGUUUUGUACACUUUGGCAGACCUGAGUGGAACAACCUAGUUUUGAUCUAAACAAGUGCAGCCCACCUGAUGGAUAGCUUGGAUCUUACACAAGUGUGCCAUAUUGGCACAUGUUCUUUUAUGUGGAUGGGCAGCAGUUCACUUGUGUGUGGGCUCAGCAAACCUGUUGUCUCAGUUCUCAGUCUCCUUUAGUAGUUAGUCUUAUAAAAUACCAAAUUUCUUCUCAUUUUUAGGAUGAAGUGAACAAGCUUAUAAGUCAACCCUGGGUGAAAGGGAGAGAGAUAUAAUACGCCUUUUCUAUGGCCUGGAUAAAGAAUCCCUGCCAUGGGAAGACAUUAGUAGACACUGAAGGUGAGUGGUGACCUCACCAAGUAUGUAGAGCUAAGGGCGUGUUCUUAGCCAUUGUUUAGAGUGAGAGGCUACAGGGGUUAUUGAUGUCUAUUGGUUGAAAUUUAAGUUUGUUUAGUUGGAAUGUUGAAGUUUAAAGAAUUAGCAGAGGCUUCUAAUAUGGUUCUCAGAUGUCGAAGAGCAUCAAAGCAUGCCUGCCCUAUCACCAACUAGUCUCAUCUUCUAUUUUAUGGCUGUGAUUUGCUGAGGAGAUGUUGUAGCUACUUUUAGUCCCAACUGAUGUACGGUUUUGCCUAUGACAUUCAUGUGCAUUUGUAGUCUGAAAACAUUAAAUAGACCAUUAACUGUUUUAUUGGUAUUGUGCUGAUUAUUUUGUCUUGAUGAAUGUUAAAUGGGUGAAACAUGCACGCACAUGUUUAAUCAUUGAUUGAUUAUGAUUGUGUGAAUUAUUUUUUGAA
Magnolia sinica is the source of this 1787-nucleotide long non-coding RNA. RefSeq lists it as uncharacterized. The transcript is spliced from 3 exons. The record is from RefSeq and is a predicted model, not a curated record. Lineage: Eukaryota; Viridiplantae; Streptophyta; Magnoliopsida; Magnoliales; Magnoliaceae.